This 492-nucleotide ribosomal RNA is filed under the name Cyclograpsus intermedius. RNAcentral's name for it is "partial 16S ribosomal RNA". It matches the Rfam family "Bacterial large subunit ribosomal RNA", at positions 1907 to 2598 of the family's 2925-position model. The record is from RNAcentral. Lineage: Eukaryota; Metazoa; Arthropoda; Malacostraca; Decapoda; Varunidae.
UGAUAAUUAAAUAUUAAAUGGCCGCGGUAUUUUGACCGUGCAAAGGUAGCAUAAUCGUUAGUUUUUUAAUUGGAAUCUUGUAUGAAUGGUUGGACAAAAGAAAAUCUGUCUUUACACUGUUUAUUGAAUUUAACUUUUAAGUGAAAAGGCUUAAAUGAAUUAAAGGGACGAUAAGACCCUAUAAAGCUUAAUAUUAAAAUUUUAUUUAGUUGAAUUUUAUAUAAUAAAAACUUAGUGGAUUAUAUUUAUUUUAUUGGGGCGAUAGAAGUAAAAUGAUUAAUAACUGCUUAAUUUUUUAUACAUUAAUAAUUGAUUAACCAAUUUAAAUGAUCCUAAUUAAAGAUCAAAAGUUCAAGUUACUUUAGGGAUAACAGCGUUAUUUUUCUUAAGAGUACUUAUCGAAAGAAAAGUUUGCGACCUCGAUGUUGAAUUAAAAUGUCUUUAUAAUUGCAGCAGUUAUAAGAGUAGGUCUGUUCGACCUUUAAAAUUUUA